This is a long non-coding RNA of Pezoporus flaviventris, 1548 nucleotides long. RefSeq lists it as uncharacterized. The record is from RefSeq and is a predicted model, not a curated record. NCBI's taxonomy places the organism in Eukaryota, Metazoa, Chordata, Aves, Psittaciformes, Psittacidae. The transcript has 3 exons.
CUGUCAAGAGACUGCAGAGAGAAGCGUCCUGGGCUUUGAAAUGUCUGUCAUGUUUGGAAAAUAAUGGCCUGAUUUAUUAAUUUCCUGCUUUUAUGUGUCUCCUGCUUGUAUCUGUCUAAAUAAGCUUUUGCACAAGGGACUGGAUGUACUCAGAGCUGCUCUACAGUAACACACGACUCCUCUGCUCUCCCUUUGGGGUAACUAGAUGGUGUAAAUGUUUCUUGUGGCUUGGGGAAGUUUCUCGUGUCAGAGUUCCAUAGUUCAUGAAGAUUACCUUCCUGCCACUCUGCUUCCCAGCCUGCUUCCAAAGGCAAAGAUGUACUUCAGCGAGGUGUGCCAUUUAUUGAUCCUUCUUGGACUGGUAUUUUUCAAUUAGAACAAUAUUGAACCACAACUUAAAUUAUUUCAGCACCCCGUCAGCUUGUCAUGCAGCCACAAGAUGUCAUGAGAAGCUGUGCCUCGUUGCAGGAGGAGUGAGCUUUGUGCUUUGUGAGCCCUCACAAGGGGUCAAGUCGAGCAGUAGUUCUGGAACCAGGUGUUCUGGAAACAUCUCAGUUCUCCAUACAACUAUUGCAGUGUCUCAAUUUCUUCAAUUAACCCUUUCAUAUUAGGGUUAUGCUUGAAACAAGUGGCUAAGUAACUGCUUGAACUGUCUUCUAACAUGCCCUGAAGCAGCAGAUGUAGGAGUGCCUUAAGGUUCCCAAGAUGUAGCAUGCCCUGUAACAUUAAGCACUGUACAACUGAAAGGUUCUCUAUGGUAACCAUGAUUGUGCGUGCUGGAAGAGGACUGGUUUGUGGUUUGGGUUUUGCAGGGGUUUGGUGGUUUUUUUCCGCUCUGAAUUUACUCCAGUAAGAGGAGAAAUGUGCUUCCAGGAACUGGAAAGGACUUUCUCCCAUUAAAUCCAGGAAUGUCCCAGAGUCUGCACUUUUGCUUCUGCUUUUAAAUUCCCAGCUGAAUUUCCUCUUUGAAAGCUACAUAUUAGCUUGAAAAAGCUAUCAAGCAGCAACUUCGCAUAAAGUAAACACUUAAUAUGCUAGUGUGCCCGCAGAGUUCUUGAAAGGUCUCGUGGGAGCAGUAUUGACUCCUGAGUUGUAUCUCGGCGUGAGUCAGGGAAGCUGAGCAAAACAGUGUCACAAAAAGAAACCACAGCUUUCUGGUAGGAGGGAUUAAAAAUCCCUCAGGGUAAGUGUCCAAAAUCAGUUGCAAGACAGUAUUUUUCUGAGAAUCCAAGGCUGUGAGGACCAACAAAUAUUACUCGGUCUACAGAGUUGGACAGAGAAAGACCUUGGUUCAGGCGAGCACAGAAAGUUGGCAGUAUGUGAGAAGUGAGGGAAAGAUUCCAGCUAAUUUGUGUUAAUCCAGUCAUUUGGAUUCUAGACGCAAAAUGGGUCACCAAGGCAAAGUUAAUAAAACAUUAGAAGAGGCCCAGCAGCCUGAAUAAAUACAUGGUGUUCAUCAGCAGUCUCUGGAUAUGGUGUUGAUUCUGUGUUUGAUCAUGUAUUUUCCCCUAAAGAUAUUUAAUUGAACUAAAACUGGUGUGAGACUGA